AGGGCUGCAACGAUUAAUCGAUGUAAUCGAUAAUAAUCGAUAACUGGAUUCGCUGUCGACGAAUCCAGUUAUCGAAUAAUCGCCGAUUCGUUGCUAUGCAGGCGGGCGGUUUACUUUAAGUCACUGCAUCUUUAUUUUACCUUACAAUCGUGACGCUCCAGCUCCUCCAACAGC
Long non-coding RNA from Bufo bufo (common toad), 174 nucleotides. RefSeq lists it as uncharacterized. The transcript has 3 exons. The record is from RefSeq and is a predicted model, not a curated record. NCBI's taxonomy places the organism in Eukaryota, Metazoa, Chordata, Amphibia, Anura, Bufonidae.